CGGGGUGUGGCGCAGUGGAUAGCGCGCAUGGUUUGGGACCAUGAGGUCGGCGGUUCAAGUCCGCCCACCCCGACCA
Molecule: transfer RNA, 76 nt
Filed under: Dehalococcoidia bacterium
Lineage: Bacteria; Bacillati; Chloroflexota; Dehalococcoidia
Also listed under: 1 other name
Description: tRNA-Pro
Rfam family: tRNA
About the family: Transfer RNA (tRNA) molecules are approximately 80 nucleotides in length. Their secondary structure includes four short double-helical elements and three loops (D, anti-codon, and T loops).
Source: RNAcentral